CCGAGAACGCGUCUCUCAGGCGCAUCUCCCACCCUUUGUAUACCUUACUCUGUUGCUUUGGCGGGCCCGUCUCACGACCACCGGCCCCGGCUGGUCCGCGCCCGCCAGAGGACCACAAACUCUUGUAAUCAUGCCGUCUGAGUAAAAACACAAAUACGUUA
Molecule: unclassified non-coding RNA, 161 nt
Filed under: uncultured Coniochaetaceae
Lineage: Eukaryota; Fungi; Ascomycota; Sordariomycetes; Coniochaetales
Description: sequence contains ITS1
Source: RNAcentral